AGAUAACGGGUCACAACAUCUAUUGCUAGGAAACAACAGACUAUUUCUCUACAAUGGAAAACAGCCUUUUAUCUGAGACUAUUUCCCAGUUGCAGAGGGAUUGGGAUUGUCUGCUGUAUGAGAAGAUAGAACGUGUGGUAAGUGGUACAAAAUUCUCUUUGGAUGUGCCAUCAGGAGUGUCUAAUACAUCAUGAAUUGUUUAU
Candoia aspera is the source of this 203-nucleotide long non-coding RNA. RefSeq lists it as uncharacterized. The record is from RefSeq and is a predicted model, not a curated record. Lineage: Eukaryota; Metazoa; Chordata; Lepidosauria; Squamata; Candoiidae. The transcript has 3 exons.